RNAcentral lists this transfer RNA (72 nucleotides) under Bos taurus (domestic cattle). It matches the Rfam family "tRNA". From Rfam's summary of the family: Transfer RNA (tRNA) molecules are approximately 80 nucleotides in length. RNAcentral also lists the same sequence under 1 other name. Lineage: Eukaryota; Metazoa; Chordata; Mammalia; Artiodactyla; Bovidae. The record is from Rfam by way of RNAcentral.
UCCGUGGUGGUCCAGUGGCUAAGACUCUGCACUCCCAAUAUAGAGGCCUGGGUUCAAUCCCUGGUCAGGGAG